UACGUAGGGUGCGAGCGUUAAUCGGAAUUACUGGGCGUAAAGCGUGCGCAGGCGGUUCGUUGUGUCGGUGGUGAAAUCCCCGGGCUUAACCUGGGAAUGGCCAUGGAAACUGGCGAACUGGAGUGCGGCAGAGGGGGGUGGAAUUCCGCGUGUAGCAGUGAAAUGCGUAGAGAUGUGGAGGAACACCGAUGGCGAAGGCAGCCCCCUGGGUCAAGAUUGACGCUCAUGCACGAAAGCGUGGGGAGCAAACAGG
This 253-nucleotide ribosomal RNA is filed under the name uncultured bacterium. RNAcentral describes it as "partial 16S ribosomal RNA". It matches the Rfam family "Bacterial small subunit ribosomal RNA", at positions 524 to 776 of the family's 1533-position model. The record is from RNAcentral.